This 74-nucleotide transfer RNA is filed under the name Candidatus Kinetoplastidibacterium galati TCC219. RNAcentral's name for it is "tRNA-Cys (GCA) (tRNA-Cys-GCA-1-1)". It matches the Rfam family "tRNA". Rfam says of the family: Transfer RNA (tRNA) molecules are approximately 80 nucleotides in length. The record is from RNAcentral. Lineage: Bacteria; Pseudomonadati; Pseudomonadota; Betaproteobacteria.
GGCGCGAUGGCAGAGUGGUUAUGCAGCGGACUGCAAAUCCGUGUACGGCGGUUCGAUUCCGCCUUGCGCCUCCA